GACGUAGGGCGCGAGCGUUGUCCGGAUUUAUUGGGCGUAAAGAGCUCGUAGGCGGUCUGUCGCGUCUGCUGUGAAAACUCAGGGCUUAACCCUGAGCUUGCAGUGGGUACGGGCAGACUAAAGUGCGGUAGGGGAGACUGGAAUUCCUGGUGUAGCGGUGAAAUGCGCAGAUAUCAGGAGGAACACCGGUGGCGAAGGCGGGUCUCUGGGCCGAUACUGACGCUGAGGUGCGAAAGCGUGGGGAGCAAACAGG
RNAcentral lists this ribosomal RNA (253 nucleotides) under uncultured bacterium. RNAcentral's name for it is "partial 16S ribosomal RNA". It matches the Rfam family "Bacterial small subunit ribosomal RNA", at positions 524 to 776 of the family's 1533-position model. The record is from RNAcentral.